RNAcentral lists this ribosomal RNA (253 nucleotides) under uncultured bacterium. RNAcentral describes it as "partial 16S ribosomal RNA". It matches the Rfam family "Bacterial small subunit ribosomal RNA", at positions 524 to 776 of the family's 1533-position model. The record is from RNAcentral.
UACGAAGGGUGCAAGCGUUACUCGGAAUUACUGGGCGUAAAGCGUGCGUAGGCGGUUUGUUAAGUCUGUUGUGAAAGCCCCGGGCUCAACCUGGGAAUGGCAAUGGAUACUGGCAAGCUAGAGUGCGGUAGAGGGUAGUGGAAUUCCCGGUGUAGCGGUGAAAUGCGUAGAUAUCGGGAGGAACAUCAGUGGCGAAGGCGGCCCUCUGGUCCAGUACUGACACUCAAGUGCGAAAGCGUGGGGAGCAAACAGG